Molecule: ribosomal RNA, 506 nt
Filed under: uncultured bacterium
Lineage: Bacteria
Description: partial 16S ribosomal RNA
Rfam family: Bacterial small subunit ribosomal RNA
Source: RNAcentral
GAUGAACGCUAGCUACAGGCUUAACACAUGCAAGUCGAGGGGUAACAAGAGAAAAGCUUGCUUUUCUUGUUGACGACCGGCGCACGGGUGAGUAACGCGUAUCCAACCUGCCUAUAACUAGGGAAUAACCUUGCGAAAGUAAGACUAAUACCCUAUGAUUUCCUUUGAUGACAUCAGAUUAGGAAUAAAGAUUUAUCGGUUAUAGAUGGGGAUGCGUCUGAUUAGCUUGUUGGCGGGGUAACGGCCCACCAAGGCAACGAUCAGUAGGGGUUCUGAGAGGAAGGUCCCCCACAUUGGAACUGAGACACGGUCCAAACUCCUACGGGAGGCAGCAGUGAGGAAUAUUGGUCAAUGGGCGGAAGCCUGAACCAGCCAAGUAGCGUGCAGGAUGACGGCCCUAUGGGUUGUAAACUGCUUUUAUACAGGAAUAAAGUUAGCCACGUGUGGUUAUUUGUAGGUACUGUAUGAAUAAGGACCGGCUAAUUCCGUGCCAGCCGCCGCCGUAA